UGCAGCCACGCCCUCUUUCCUAGGGAGCUGGUGAGUGGCAGAUGCUUGCGAGGGGGGGUCCUUGGAAAAGAGGAGGGGUGCAAUGCAAUGCAAUGCAAUCUUCACGCCCCUUCAAGGGAUCAGAGGAAGGUGAAAUGAUUCUGGAUCUGUAUUCAAGACGUUCUCCUUGAGGAGCAGAAAUGGCUGCUGUAGGACCAGACCAGGGUCUGGUGAGCUUCGAGGAGGUGGCCGUGGACUUCACGGAUGAGGAGUGGGCUCUGCUGGGUCCAGACCAAAGGGCUUUGCACAGGGAGGUCAUGGAGGAGACUCGCGAGACUGUAGCCUU
Pogona vitticeps (central bearded dragon) is the source of this 325-nucleotide non-coding RNA. The record is from RefSeq and is a predicted model, not a curated record. Lineage: Eukaryota; Metazoa; Chordata; Lepidosauria; Squamata; Agamidae.